RNAcentral lists this ribosomal RNA (491 nucleotides) under uncultured Aeromonas sp. RNAcentral's name for it is "bacterial SSU rRNA". It matches the Rfam family "Bacterial small subunit ribosomal RNA", at positions 30 to 507 of the family's 1533-position model. The record is from RNAcentral. Lineage: Bacteria; Pseudomonadati; Pseudomonadota; Gammaproteobacteria; Aeromonadales; Aeromonadaceae.
UAAACGCUGGCGGCAGGCCUAACACAUGCAAGUCGAGCGGCAGCGGGAAAGGUAGCUUGCUACUUUUGCCGGCGGAGCGGCGGACGGGUGAGUAAUGCCUGGGAAAUUGCCCAGUCAGGGGGAUAACAGUUGGAACGACUGCUAAUACCGCAUACGCCCUACGGGGGAAAGGCAGGGGACCUUCGGGCCUUGCGCGAUUGGAUAUGCCCAGGUGGGAUUAGCUAGUUGGUGAGGUAAUGGCUCACCAAGGCGACGAUCCCUAGCUGGUCUGAGAGGAUGAUCAGCCACACUGGAACUGAGACACGGUCCAGACUCCUACAGGAGGCAGCAGUGGGGAAUAUUGCACAAUGGGGGAAACCCUGAUGCAGCCAUGCCGCGUGUGUGAAGAAGGCCUUCGGGUUGUAAAGCACUUUCAGCGAGGAGGAAAGGUCAGUAGCUAAUAUCUGCUGACUGUGACGUUACUCGCAGAAGAAGCACCGGCUAACUCCGUG